RNAcentral lists this ribosomal RNA (460 nucleotides) under uncultured bacterium. RNAcentral describes it as "partial 16S ribosomal RNA". It matches the Rfam family "Bacterial small subunit ribosomal RNA", at positions 338 to 795 of the family's 1533-position model. The record is from RNAcentral.
CCUCCGGGAGGCAGCAGUGAGGAAUAUUGGUCAAUGGCCGGAAGGCUGAACCAGCCAUGCCGCGUGAAGGUCAGUGCCCUAUGGGCGUUAAACUUCUUUUGUGCGGGAGCAAUAAUGGUCACGUGUGGCCAGACGAGAGUACCGUACGAAUAAGCAUCGGCUAACUCCGUGCCAGCAGCCGCGGUUAUACGGGGGGUGCAAGAGUUAUCCGGGUUUAUUGGGUUUAAAGGGUGCGUAGGCUGGGAGGUAAGUCAGCGGGGAAAUGCCCCCGGUCAACGGGGUGAAGUGCCAUUGAUACUGCCUUGCUGGAGUGCGGAUGCGGUGGGAGGAAUGGGUGGUGUAGCGGUGAAAUGCUUAGAUAUCACACAGAACACCGAUUGCGAAGGCAGCUCACGAAUCCGCGAUUGACGCUGAUGCACGAAAGCGUGGGUAUCAAACAGGAUUAGAUACCCUAGUAGUC